Molecule: ribosomal RNA, 492 nt
Filed under: uncultured bacterium
Lineage: Bacteria
Description: bacterial SSU rRNA
Rfam family: Bacterial small subunit ribosomal RNA
Source: RNAcentral
GACGAACGCUGGCGGCGUGCCUAACACAUGCAAGUCGAACGGAGUGAAGCCCUUCGGGACUUUACUUAGUGGCGAACGGGUGAGUAACGCGUGAGGAACCUGCCUUUCAGUGGGGGACAACAGUUGGAAACGACUGCUAAUACCGCAUGACGCUUCUUGGGGGCAUCCCUGGGAAGUCAAAGAUUUAUUGCUGAAAGAUGGCCUCGCGUCUGAUUAGCUAGUUGGCGGGGUAACGGCCCACCAAGGCGACGAUCAGUAGCCGGUCUGAGAGGAUGAACGGCCACAUUGGGACUGAGAUACGGCCCAGACUCCUACGGGAGGCAGCAGUGGGGAAUAUUGCACAAUGGGGGAAACCCUGAUGCAGCGACGCCGCGUGGAGGAAGAAGGUCUUCGGGUUGUAAACUGCUUUUGUCAGGGACGAAAAGGACCGUGUUAAUACCAUGGUCUGCUGACGGUACCUGAAGAAUAAGCACCGGCUAACUACGUGCCAGC